AUAUCUAUGUAUAUAUAAAUAAAUAAAAAUAAUACGAAAUAUACAUGUCCAUGUACAAAAUUACAUAAAUAAUUAUAUAAAUAUACACGUAGACUUCAGCUAUAUAAAUAUGCAUAUAUAUUUAAAUUCUACGUGCGUAUUUAUGUAAUAUUUUUACAUAAGUAAUUUUAUUGAUUGCAAUUUGAGAGACCUGCCUGCCAACCCAGGCCGAAAGUCCAGAGAAUUUAAUUUGCUAGCACUGUAUUUUACCCUUUAACGUUCUACGACUUCCUAAAACCUGUACAUGGGGGGUACUGUUUUACUCGGGAGACUUCGCUGAACACAAAUAUUAGUGAUUCAAAACAGUAAAACAUAUCACAGCGAUGAUAUUGUCAGUGAAAGUGACUUUUUUUGCAUUUUUCACACACAAACAGCACUUUUACUGAUAAUAUAAUUGUUUUGAUACGUUUUCCAGUUUUUCCCGAGUAAAACAGCACCCCACAUGUACAGGUUUUAUCGCAUUUUUGAAAGUUACAGGGUCAAAUAUAUCGGUCAAAUAUUUUUACAUUGAAAAUGGCCAGGUUGGUUACAUUGCCUUUCAGAACGUAUGGUAGCCCAGGAAUGAGAAUUACCCCCAUGAUGGCAUACCAUUUGCAAAAGAAGACAACCCAAGGUAUUGCAAAUGGG
Non-coding RNA from Pelobates cultripes (western spadefoot toad), 666 nucleotides. The record is from the annotation of a GenBank genome assembly. NCBI's taxonomy places the organism in Eukaryota, Metazoa, Chordata, Amphibia, Anura, Pelobatidae.